RNAcentral lists this ribosomal RNA (715 nucleotides) under Kocuria sp. RNAcentral's name for it is "bacterial SSU rRNA". It matches the Rfam family "Bacterial small subunit ribosomal RNA", at positions 87 to 811 of the family's 1533-position model. The record is from RNAcentral. Lineage: Bacteria; Bacillati; Actinomycetota; Actinomycetes; Micrococcales; Micrococcaceae.
GUGGAUGAGUGGCGAACGGGUGAGUAAUACGUGAGUAACCUGCCCUUGACUCUGGGAUAAGCCUGGGAAACUGGGUCUAAUACUGGAUAUGACCUCCUGUCGCAUGGUGGGGGGUGGAAAGGGUUUGUACUGGUUGUGGAUGGGCUCACGGCCUAUCAGCUUGUUGGUGGGGUAAUGGCCUACCAAGGCGACGACGGGUAGCCGGCCUGAGAGGGUGACCGGCCACACUGGGACUGAGACACGGCCCAGACUCCUACGGGAGGCAGCAGUGGGGAAUAUUGCACAAUGGGCGCAAGCCUGAUGCAGCGACGCCGCGUGAGGGAUGACGGCCUUCGGGUUGUAAACCUCUUUCAGCACGGAAGAAGCGAAAGUGACGGUACGUGCAGAAGAAGCGCCGGCUAACUACGUGCCAGCAGCCGCGGUAAUACGUAGGGCGCAAGCGUUGUCCGGAAUUAUUGGGCGUAAAGAGCUCGUAGGCGGUUUGUCGCGUCUGCUGUGAAAGCCCGGGGCUUAACCCCGGGUGUGCAGUGGGUACGGGCAGACUUGAGUGCAGUAGGGGAGACUGGAACUCCUGGUGUAGCGGUGAAAUGCGCAGAUAUCAGGAAGAACACCGAUGGCGAAGGCAGGUCUCUGGGCUGUUACUGACGCUGAGGAGCGAAAGCAUGGGGGAGCGAACAGGAUUAGAUACCCCUGGUAGUCCAUGCCGUAAACGUUG